This 113-nucleotide ribosomal RNA is filed under the name Klebsiella pneumoniae. RNAcentral describes it as "partial 23S ribosomal RNA". The stretch from base 1 to 101 matches the Rfam family "Bacterial large subunit ribosomal RNA", at positions 2825 to 2925 of the family's 2925-position model. Lineage: Bacteria; Pseudomonadati; Pseudomonadota; Gammaproteobacteria; Enterobacterales; Enterobacteriaceae. The record is from RNAcentral.
UCCUGAAGGAACGUUAAAGACGAUGACGUUGAUAGGCCGGGUGUGUAAGCGCAGCGAUGCGUUGAGCUAACCGGUACUAAUGAACCGUGAGGCUUAACCUUACAACGCCGAAG